RNAcentral lists this long non-coding RNA (462 nucleotides) under Ornithorhynchus anatinus (platypus). RNAcentral describes it as "lncRNA (ENSOANG00000040095.1)". Lineage: Eukaryota; Metazoa; Chordata; Mammalia; Monotremata; Ornithorhynchidae. The record is from RNAcentral.
GCUGUUUAAAGUUUGCUGAGGAUGAGCUGGUUUGGGGUGGGCUAUUUUGGCUCCCAGGUGAUGAGGUUGAUGGAAUCCAACAGGACAACGCUCUGCUGACUCCAUCUUGCCCAAUGUCUACCAGCCACUCAUUUCCUCUUCCCCCCGACCCCGACUCGUCCUCUUCUGAAGGGUCAAAAUGACUUUAUUUUCCUUGGAGGACCCCGCUUUCUUCAAGGGCUACUGUUUUCCUCAACCAGCGGAGAGAUCAUUUCAGGGAAAUCAUCACGACGGAAGAACAUCUUCAGAGGUGGAAGUUCACACUGGUACUGCAGGCCCGGACUGGCCGAGGAGAACCGGCCGGAACACCCGACGCCUCCUGUCCCCCUGCCUUCCUCGCAGAUUCCCCACCCGGAGAUUACUCAGACAUCCUUUUAGGUAAUGAACCGAUAACCCGGAUUAACUUGGUUAAGAAUUUCAACA